AGUGAACGCUGGCGGUAGGCCUAACACAUGCAAGUCGAACGGCAGCACAGUAAGAGCUUGCUCUUGCGGGUGGCGAGUGGCGGACGGGUGAGGAAUACAUCGGAAUCUACUUUUUCGUGGGGGAUAACGUAGGGAAACUUACGCUAAUACCGCAUACGACCUACGGGUGAAAGCAGGGGAUCUUCGGACCUUGCGCGAUUGAAUGAGCCGAUGUCGGAUUAGCUAGUUGGCGGGGUAAAGGCCCACCAAGGCGACGAUCCGUAGCUGGUCUGAGAGGAUGAUCAGCCACACUGGAACUGAGACACGGUCCAGACUCCUACGGGAGGCAGCAGUGGGGAAUAUUGGACAAUGGGCGCAAGCCUGAUCCAGCCAUACCGCGUGGGUGAAGAAGGCCUUCGGGUUGUAAAGCCCUUUUGUUGGGAAAGAAAAGCAGCAGGUUAAUACCCCGCUGUUCUGACGGUACCCAAAGAAUAAGCACCGGCUAACUUCGCG
This 492-nucleotide ribosomal RNA is filed under the name uncultured bacterium. RNAcentral describes it as "partial 16S ribosomal RNA". It matches the Rfam family "Bacterial small subunit ribosomal RNA", at positions 29 to 507 of the family's 1533-position model. The record is from RNAcentral.